Molecule: ribosomal RNA, 253 nt
Filed under: uncultured bacterium
Lineage: Bacteria
Description: partial 16S ribosomal RNA
Rfam family: Bacterial small subunit ribosomal RNA
Source: RNAcentral
UACGAAGGGGGCUAGCGUUGUUCGGAAUUACUGGGCGUAAAGCGCGCGCAGGCGGUCUUCCAAGUCAGUGGUGAAAGCCCGGAGCUCAACUCCGGAAAUGCCAUUGAAACUGUAAGACUUGAGGAUGAGAGAGGUGAGUGGAAUUCCCAGUGUAGAGGUGAAAUUCGUAGAUAUUGGGAAGAACACCGGUGGCGAAGGCGGCUCACUGGCUCAUUUCUGACGCUCAGGCGCGACAGCGUGGGGAUCAAACAGG